Regulatory RNA element from Gorilla gorilla gorilla (western lowland gorilla), 142 nucleotides. It matches the Rfam family "ODC internal ribosome entry site (IRES)". Lineage: Eukaryota; Metazoa; Chordata; Mammalia; Primates; Hominidae. The record is from Rfam.
GUUUCCACUGCUGCUCUGAGGGCACAAGAGGCAGGAUUUGGAAUUCCUGGAGAACUGUCUUCGUGAGAAGCUGGAAAUAUUUCUUUCAAUUCCAUCUCUUAGUUUUCCAUUUUGUUGUGUUUCAGAGGAACAUCAAGAAACC